Non-coding RNA from Danio rerio (zebrafish), 71 nucleotides. Lineage: Eukaryota; Metazoa; Chordata; Actinopteri; Cypriniformes; Danionidae. The record is from Rfam.
GCAUUAAUGGUUCAGUGGUAGAAUUCUCGACUCCCACAUGGGAGACCUGGGUCUGAUUCCCAGCCAAUGCA